UGGGGAAUAUUGCACAAUGGGGGAAACCCUGAUGCAGCCAUGCCGCGUGUGUGAAGAAGGCCUUCGGGUUGUAAAGCACUUUCAGUAGGGAGGAAAGGUAAUAGUUUAAUACGCUAUUACUGUGACGUUACCUACAGAAGAAGGACCGGCUAACUCCGUGCCAGCAGCCGCGGUAAUACGGAGGGUCCGAGCGUUAAUCGGAAUUACUGGGCGUAAAGCGUGCGCAGGCGGUUUGUUAAGCGAGAUGUGAAAGCCCCGGGCUCAACCUGGGAAUUGCAUUUCGAACUGGCGAACUAGAGUCUUGUAGAGGGGGGUAGAAUUCCAGGUGUAGCGGUGAAAUGCGUAGAGAUCUGGAGGAAUACCGGUGGCGAAGGCGGCCCCCUGGACAAAGACUGACGCUCAGGCACGAAAGCGUGGGGAGCAAACAGGAUUAGAUACCCUGGUAGUCCACGCCGUAAACGAUGCCUACUCGGAGUUUGGUGUCUUGAACACUGGGCUCUCAAGCUAACGCAUUAAGUAGACCGCCUGGGGAGUACGGCCGCAAGGUUA
RNAcentral lists this ribosomal RNA (549 nucleotides) under uncultured bacterium. Its description in RNAcentral is "bacterial SSU rRNA". It matches the Rfam family "Bacterial small subunit ribosomal RNA", at positions 355 to 896 of the family's 1533-position model. The record is from RNAcentral.